CUACGGGACGCACCAGUGAGGAACAUUGCACAAUGGGGGGAACCCUGAUGCAGCAACGCCGCGUGGAGGAUGACGCAUUUCGGUGUGUAAACUCCUUUUAUAUGUCAAGAAAAUGACGGUAGCAUAUGAAUAAGCACCGGCUAACUCCGUGCCAGCAGCCGCGGUAAUACGGAGGGUGCAAGCGUUACUCGGAAUCACUGGGCGUAAAGGACGCGUAGGCGGGUUGGCAAGUCAGGUGUGAAAUCCUACAGCUUAACUGUAGAACUGCACUUGAAACUUCUAAUCUAGAGUAUGGGAGGGGGAGAUGGAAUUAGUGGUGUAGGGGUAAAAUCCGUAGAUAUCAGUAGGAAUACCUAAAGCGAAGGCGAUCUCCUGGAACAUUACUGACGCUAAGGCGUGAAAGCGUGGGGAGCAAACAGGAUUAGAUACCCCGGUAGUC
RNAcentral lists this ribosomal RNA (439 nucleotides) under uncultured bacterium. Its description in RNAcentral is "partial 16S ribosomal RNA". It matches the Rfam family "Bacterial small subunit ribosomal RNA", at positions 339 to 795 of the family's 1533-position model. The record is from RNAcentral.